This 2845-nucleotide long non-coding RNA is filed under the name Oncorhynchus kisutch (coho salmon). RNAcentral's name for it is "lncRNA (ENSOKIG00005001283.1)". The record is from RNAcentral. Lineage: Eukaryota; Metazoa; Chordata; Actinopteri; Salmoniformes; Salmonidae.
UGAGCACCUGCCCUGAAAAUGUCAUUAAACUGCCCUGGCAAUUCUCCUGAAGUGUCCUACUAUGCUAUAGAAGUGACCUAGUAGUGUUGAACUCGUUCCAUGGAACUUUCCUGCCUCACCUGAGAGUAGAGGAGGUUCCUGACCUACAGUCCUAAGCACAGAUCUAGGAUCAGAUCAUCCUCAUCAAAUCCAAACCAGGACCUUAUUAAACCACAAGGGGAAACCUGACCUCAGACCAGCGUUAAAACCUCACAUCUUCCUGCCCAGACACUGACACUCCGUCCAGAAUUCCUCUGCGCUCCAGCCGUCCAUCCAUCCAUCCAGCUGUCCAUCCAUCCAUCCACACCCCAGCCAUCCAUCCAUCCAGCUGUCCAUCCAUCCAUCCACACCCCAGCCAGCCAGCCAUGGGUCUGAUGAGCGAGGACAUGGAGUGCUGUGUCUGCCUCCAGCCCUACUCUCGCAAGGAGAAGAUUCCUCGGAUGCUCCACUGUAAGCACACAUUCUGUGGGCUGUGCUUGCAGGCGAUGUCCAGGCUCCAGAGCGGCCUACUGACAGUCUGCUGCCCCCUGUGCCGUUGGAUCACCUGCACCGAGCCCAGCCUCACCCUGCCGGGGUCGCUGUGGGUUAACACUGAGAUCUGGGACCAGAUACUAGACAGAAAACAGGAAGAGGAGGAGGAGGAGGAAGAGGAGGAAGAGUGGAAGGGAGCUAACAGACAGACACAGACCACUACACAGUACAAAUGUUCUCCAUCAAGGCAUUGUGGCCUGAGGCUCAAACUACAGAAUUUCCUGAGGAGGAUGAAGCACAAUGUACUGUAAACCGAGAAGACGAAGAGCAGAGAAAAAGAAGACUGGAUUUUCCCAAUUCAGAGUAGGAGAUACUCAUUGAGUAAUGAAGCUAAUUCAUAAAACAGGACCAACUGGUGAUUUUCCAUAAUGAAGCAAGAUUGAACCAAUUAUUCAUAUGCUUUGUGUUUGGUUGACUUUGGGUGUAAUGUUCUCAGUCAACUUACCUGGUAAAAUAAGGGUUCAAUUAUAAUAUUAAUAAUAUAGGAUGGAUAGGUGGAGGAAAUAAAAAAUAAGAUAUUAAAUGGAUUGAGGAAGAAAGAAAGAUAAAGGAAGUUAUGAAUAGAUGGAGAGACAGACAGACAGACAGACAGACAGACAGACAGACAGACAGACAGACAGACAGACAGACAGACAGACAGACAGACAGACAGACAGACAGACAGACAGACAGACAGACAGACAGACAGACAGACAGACAGACAGACAGACAGACAGACAGACAGACAGACAGACAGACAGACAGACAGACAGACAGACAGACAGACAGACAUAUAGAUAGAUAGAUAGAUAGAUAGAUAGAUAGAUAGAUAGAUAGAUAGAUAGAUAGAUAGAUAGAUAGAUAGAUAGAUAGAUAGAUAGAUAGAUAGAUAGAUAGAUAGAUAGAUAGAUAGAUAGAUAGAUAGAUAGAUAGAUAGAUAGAUAGAUAGAUAGAUAGAUAGAUAGAUAGAUAGAUAGAUAGAUAGAUAGAUAGAUAGAUAGAUAGAUAGAUAGAUAGAAAUGUACAUAUUUAUGCUUAUUUAUUUUCCCUUGUGUACUUUAACCAUUUGUACAUUGUUACAACACUGUACACUGUACACAUGUGUAUAAUAUGACAUUUGUAAUGUCUUUAUUGUUUUGAAACUUCUGUAUAUGUAAUGUUUACUGUUCAUUUUUAUUGGUUAUUUCACUUUUGUAUAUUAUCUACCUAACUUGCUUUUGCAAUGUUAACACAUGUUUCCCAUGCCAAUAAAGCCCCUUGAAUUGAAUUGGAUAGAAUAGAUAGAUAGAUAGAUAGAUAGAUAGAUAGAUAGAUAGAUAGAUAGAUAGAUAGAUAGAUAGAUAGAUAGAUAGAUAGAUAGAUAGAUAGAUAGAUAGAUAGAUAGAUAGAUAGAUAGAUAGAUAGAUAGAUAGAUAGAUAGAUAGAUAGAUAGACAGACAGAGGGGUGAAGGUUAGAGACUGUGUGCUGUACAAUGUGUGCUGUGUACAAUACAAUAUACUGUGAUCAAUGUUUAUAAUAAUGUUUAAUGAUUUGAUAAAAGGUGUAUUACUGCGUGAAGGAAGUGGAGGUUCAGUAUUUAUUAUGACAUCAUUUUAGAACAGCUUUAAUGUUGCAGAUUGUUUCUUUUAUCAAUGUAAUUGUCUGCAUCAUUUCCAGUCCCACAAACCAGGGAUGUUGGAUUUGUUGAUCCUCAUUGUACAUGUUUAAUUCAUCUGUUCUGUUUGAAGAGCAGGUUUUUUAUACUGGAAUUAUAUUUAUUGGUUAAUAAAUACAUCCACUUUAAAAUAACCCUGUCUUAGAGCUGUGAAAUUUCUAAUUAUUAUCAUUACAUUAGGAAAGUAACUGUCUGAUAUCCAACUAUUUAUGGAUCCCAAAUAGAGUUGGGGGUGUUAAUACACUUCACAUUCUACACUACUAUUUCCUAAAACACAAAACAAACCCUAAACAUUCCACUGUCCUUGGUUUUGGUGUGUGCAGUACAUGACUGAAAUCACUCUCUGACUAAUCAUGUCUCAGAGAGCCCUGUAUGCAUUCUUGCAUAUGAGAUUCCAUAAAAACACAUCACUUUGAUGAAGCAAUAACCGGAAUUGACUUUUUCGGAGCAGGUUAGGAGAAUUUAUGCAGCAUGUUGGGGAAUGAUUCUGUGAUUAAUUUCCUGCUGUGAGUUAUUGUUUUAUUUAACUAGGCAAGUCAGUUAAGAACAAAAUCUGAUUUUCAAUGACGGCCUAGGAACAGUGGGUUAACUGUCUUGUUCAGGAGCAGAAUGACAGAUUUCUACCUUGUCAGCUUGGAGAU